UAAACCACUUGUUAAUGCAUACGAAAACCACACCUAAUACCUCGCCGGAUCAAAAUUACCAAAAUAAAACCAAUUCAGAAUCACAAUCAGACGAACGACCCCGAAUCCAUGACGAUCCAAUUGUCAAACCGGCAAAAUAACCCCAAAUAAAAUCAAAUCAGGACCACAAUCAGACGGUAUCGCGAAAGAGAAGAAAAAACACGCGACGGAUAAUCAUUGAAUUGAAUUGCGCAGGUUUCAUAGCGACGAUGAUACAUAUAAUCUAGAAAAACGGAGACGACAAAUAAACAAAAGCAAUAAUCAAACAAAACUCUAAAAUCCGCAGAUAACCAACAAAGACGAGAGACGAAGGAAUGAGUUACGGUUGUAGGAGGGGACGGGUAUUUAUAGAAGAGUCGGUGUUGAGUGGACGGCUGAGAUUAAUCGGAUCAAAGAUACCAAAUGGUUGGACAACCACCGUCAUUUUUGUCGCAAGUUUCUGCAAAUAGAAUUUGAAAUGUAAAAAAUAAUAGAUUAUGGAGGGAUUCAUAAGAAUAUAAAAUUUGGCAUCACUAUCGUACUCACCACCACUCGUUGUUCAACACAACCCAAAUCAUACUAUGUAGCAACCGAACUUCUCAACACAUAACACGACAUUGCCAUACAAGCAAAUUCACGAAAAGGCGGCGAAAAGCCCAAAGCUCGAAACACUUUCCUUUUUCCAGAAAUCCUAUGACCGCGCGGAAAACAAAAUCAAACCAGCCAACAACCAGACCAGGAUGGGAAAAUAUGAACCAAAUCCAAACCACGGGAUAUUAAAUUGCAUAUCACUCCAUCACCAAACAUCAUAAAUACCUUGCCGGAUCAAUUAUCAUUCAUAGAAGACCUUGACAGCACCACAGAGAAAAGAAACAUAUAAGACACGCUCCCGAUAAUUAGACUGUAAGACCAGCAAAACCACCCAAAUCAGAACCACAAACAGAAAGGCACGAAAGAGCUUUAGAUAAAACACAAGUUAGAUUAUAUUCCCCAUUAAGUAUCCAUCACAUCUGUAGCUUUACAUAAGAGACUCUGAAGCUCAUUUUCCAACGGUUUGCAAAGGGUCCAACGAUAUAUGUAAAAUCAGAUUCAACAUUCCUAUAGCACAUGUAGUUUCAGAUAUUAAAAUUGAACUAAGACACUUCCCUUAAGCCACAGAAGAAAGGUACUGACUGGUAGGACAGGUAAAUAAAUUAUCUUUCCGCGUAGUCAAUAGGCCAGAGUAAUGUAGAUGGAACUAGCAAAAACUUUCUUUAAACAGAAGGCCCACCAUCAUUUUUGUAGCAAAUGUCUGUAGACAGAGAGGAAAAGAAGAACAGGGGAUUUGAAGAUUGAUUUGAAAGUAAUAUGACCGUAUAAAGUAGUAAUAUGAAAAUUGAGGGAGCCGUUAGAAAAUACUCUCUCAAAGAAUCUGAGACGCAUCUCACUAAGCCACUACCUGCUGCCGAUCAACACAUUUUGCAACCAGAAGCAAGAAGGUUUUCAUGAGAUAAAUAAAUCAGAAAUUAAAUUAUCUUCCCCGUCAUGUUGUCCGUUAAUCAGACUCAACCUCAGAUCCAACUGCACUAAUCCAUCUUUUGCUGAAGCAAUGGGUUAUCCUGUCCAAAGAUGGAACUUCAGCAGACCCCCUAAAAUACACAAACAAAAGUUACCAAAUGGGAGGACAUCCACCAUCAAUUUUCGAGAGGAAAAGCAAAACCCGGAUAAGGAGAAAAUACUCAAACUUGAAGCUGUUUCUUCUACCAAAAAUCAUAUUUUAACCAUUUCCUUCCAAGUCUAUGCCAUCUCGUAAAAGAAAACCAAACCAACGGACAAGAGAAAUCAUAAUCCAAACCCACACAAUCGAAAAAUAGACAAAAUAGUGGCCGAUAAGGAAACAUCAUACCACAUGCCAUAUCAAAAUCACCCAAAUAGAUUUGAAAACAUAUGGUCAUAUUUCAAAAUUGAAUGAGAAGGAUGAUGAUUACAUAAGAAUAUACAAUCUGGAACUGACAAAAACUCACUGAUCGAUAAGCUAAUUAAAUCACAAAAUAAAUUAUCUUGCCAUCAUCAGAUCCAACCGAGAUCUCUAGCUUAAGCAAUUGGCGAUCCUAUCCACAGUAUUCAGUUGUACUUAAGCUCCUUAUCCAGGUAUACAUACGCUCUAGUAAAAUCAGAUCCUCAUUCUACUUGCACAGUUAGCUUAGCUCCAUAAAUAAACAUGAAACACAACCAACAAAACAGAAAGUACCAAAUAGUAAUAAAGUAGUAAAGCAGUAAAGGGAUUUAAAAGAUACAUUAAAAAAAUUGUGAUAUAAAGUUAUAAAGUUAGAAAAAUAAGGAGAGAGAGAGAGAGAGAGAGAGAGAGAGAGAGAGAGAGAGAGAGAGAUUGAAAUAUCUGGAACUGACGGGAGUUUCAGAGCUGAGUUCCUACUUUAUUACCACAACUGCGGAUCAACACAGUCGAAAGCAACGGUUGAAGGUCAAGAAAUAUCAUAUUGCACAUAUAUAUCAUAAGGAGAAUCAAAGAGAGGUUCUUCAGAUGAGACAAAUAGGUUGAACAUCCAGUAGCAGAUCAAAAUAGCAGUCAAAAGGACGAAACUUUACCGGACACUCUGUUUAGAAUUGUCAUAUAAACACAAUUAAGACAAAAAGGAGAACAUACUCGUAUUCAAAGCGCUUUCUUCUACAAGGAAUCUUGUUCAAACAAGGUUGACAAAAAAUCAAAUCAGCCGAUUACCAAACCCUGGCAAGAUAAAACACAAUCCAAUCGCAUAACGCCUGAUAAUAAACAAUAAUAGACAACUCGUUGAUACCAUACCUAAUACCUCGAAAAUCACCAAAAGAAAACCAAUUCAGAAUCACAAUCAGACGGCCUCGCAAAGAUACGACCCCAAAUCCAUGACGAUACGAUUGUCAAACCGGCAAAAUAACCCCAAAUAAAAUCAAAUCAGGACCACAAUCAGACGGCAUCACAAAAGUGAAGAAAAAAAACACGCGACGGAUAAUCAUUGAAUUGAAUUGCGACGCGACGGAUAAUCAUUGAAUUGAAUUGCGCAGGUUUCUGCAGGAAAAGCAGUAAAGGGAUAUAAAAGAGAUAUUAAAAACAAUUGCAAUCUAAAGUUAGAAAAGUAAGGAGGAUGAGGGAGAGAGAGAGAAAGCAAGAUUGAACAAUUUUUGGAGCUGACGGAUAUCUAAGAGCGGAGUUCCAACUUUAUUACCACACCUGUCGAUCAACAGGUUCCAAAGCAAAGGUCUAGGAAUAUCAUAAGGAGAAUCAAAUCUUAAGGAGCAUCAAAAUCACCACAGAAAAGCACAAUCAAACCCUCUCGCAAAGAGGAGAAAUUGUUAUACCGGCGAAAUCACCCAAAUAAAAUUAAACAGAACCACAAUAAGACAGGAAUCGGAUAA
This 3408-nucleotide long non-coding RNA is filed under the name Erythranthe guttata (spotted monkey flower). Its description in RNAcentral is "long non-coding RNA (EGUT_LNC003230)". The record is from RNAcentral. Lineage: Eukaryota; Viridiplantae; Streptophyta; Magnoliopsida; Lamiales; Phrymaceae.